CCGCCGCGCCGCCGCUCUGCGCCCCGCGGCGCCCCCCGGUCCCGCCCGCCAUGCCCGGCCCGGCCGCGGGCAGCAGGGCCCGGGUCUACGCCGAGGUGAACAGCCUGAGGAGCCGCGAGUACUGGGACUAUGAGGCUCACGUCCCGAGCUGGGGUAAUCAAGAUGAUUACCAGCUGGUUCGAAAACUUGGUCGGGGAAAGUAUAGUGAAGUAUUUGAGGCCAUUAACAUCACCAACAAUGAGAGAGUGGUUGUAAAAAUUCUCAAGCCAGUGAAGAAAAAGAAGAUAAAACGAGAGGUUAAGAUUCUGGAGAACCUUCGUGGUGGAACAAAUAUCAUUAAGCUGAUUGACACUGUGAAGGACCCUGUGUCAAAGACCCCAGCUUUGGUAUUUGAAUAUAUCAAUAAUACAGAUUUUAAGCAACUUUACCAGAUCCUGACAGACUUCGAUAUCCGGUUUUAUAUGUAUGAGCUACUUAAGGCUCUGGAUUACUGCCACAGCAAGGGAAUCAUGCACAGGGAUGUGAAACCUCACAAUGUCAUGAUAGAUCACCAGCAGAAGAAGCUGCGACUGAUAGACUGGGGUCUGGCGGAGUUCUACCAUCCUGCUCAGGAGUACAAUGUCCGUGUAGCCUCGAGGUACUUCAAGGGCCCAGAGCUCCUUGUGGACUAUCAGAUGUAUGAUUACAGCUUGGACAUGUGGAGUUUGGGCUGUAUGUUAGCAAGCAUGAUCUUUCGAAAGGAGCCCUUCUUUCAUGGACAGGACAACUACGACCAGCUUGUUCGCAUUGCCAAGGUUCUGGGUACAGAUGAGCUGUAUGGGUAUCUGAAGAAGUAUCACAUAGACCUAGAUCCACACUUCAACGAUAUCCUGGGACAACAUUCACGGAAACGCUGGGAAAACUUUAUCCAUAGUGAGAACAGACACCUCGUCAGCCCCGAGGCUCUAGAUCUUCUGGACAAACUUCUGCGAUACGACCAUCAACAGAGACUGACUGCCAAAGAGGCCAUGGAGCACCCGUACUUCUACCCCGUGGUGAAGGAGCAGUCCCAGCCCUCUGCAGACAAUGCUGUGCUUUCCAGUGGCCUCACGGCGGCCCGGUGAACACUUGGAAGGCGACGGGUCUGUUGCGGUUCCUCCCACUUUUCCAUAAGCAGAACAAGAACCAAAUCAAACGUCUUAACGUGUGUAGAGAGAUCACGUUCCGUGAGCAGACACAAAAUGGUGGCAGGUUUGGCCAGCACGAACCAGACCAACCGAAGGGCAGCCCACCACCGUAUAUCAAACCUCACUUCCGAAUGUAAAAGGUUCACACGCCUUUGGCUUCCUGUUGACUUCCUCCUGACCCAGAAAGCAUGGGAAAUGUGAAGGGUGACUGUGGGAACCCAGGUGUGGACACUCACAGUUUCUGAAGCAGUUGUGGGGGGAAAGCAAAGAGGCCCCUCAGGGUCGCCACGGCGUCAGUGUCCCUUGGAGCAGCCUCUGUCGUAUCCAAGCAGUUCCACAGGUGUGGGAGCCCUAGACUGUGCCUGGCCCCCGGACACCAGCAAGGAGGGCCUGCAAGCCCACUGCCAGCCGACUUUGUAAGGCCAACAGGACACCGAGUGGAUGGACUUGGGACUUUCCAACAGCAUCGCAGGCCUGGUUUUCUCAAGCAGGCUCUCUCACGCGGCCCUUUUGACUCAAGGCUCUGCAAAUUUCUCGUGGCCUCCCAGGACUCUGGGGGACGGUCUCUCCAUACCUUGAUAUAAUGAGCACACCCCCGAAGCUCCUACAGACAUGGUGCUUUGUGUGUGCACGUUUAUCUACAUGGCACAUCACCUCCGUGUUGACCUGCCGGCAUUUGAGAGCCUUCCCAGAUGAGAAGGGUCACUUCAGAGUAGGUGUUGAUUGACUUGGGAAUUCUUAGAUGCCAUGCAGAACUUGAAUGCUAGCUCCCCAUUUAUCUUCUCAACCAAGGUGCUCUUUAACUUCCCCGUGGGAAAGUCUUGUUUUCCAGAAACCUCUCAAGCAUAUCAGAUAAGUGUCUUUUUUGUGGAUGAUUACUACUGGGUGGGAGAGAGUUAGUGGAAUGAAGGGAAAGGAGGAGUUUUUGCUUAGGCUUUUUUGACCUUGAGAGAAGGGGACAAGGGACCUGCUUACCCAAAAACAGUCUAUAAAGCUCAUCCACAACGUGCUUGGAAAUCCAGAACAUCGAUUCACAUCUUGUCAAUGCUCCUGCUUGAGCUUGGGCUGUUUAAAGUAAUGUUUGUUUAACUUUUCUGACCACCAAAGUAAUAAUAUGCUCAUGGCAAAAAAUUCGAAUGUUACCUAAAAGUCAAUCAUGAAAGCCUUCCCCCACCGCACCCCCCCACCAUCCCGUCACACACACACGCAUACGAAAACUCUUUCUUCCUUUGGAGGUAGCUGUGGUUACAUUUGGCGUAUAUCUUGCAAUUUUUUUCCUUCAUGUUUACUAACAGUUAAAAAAUCAUGACAAUUUUUAUUUUUACAGAUAUGUCACCAGGCUAUACAUUCUUUUUUUGUAACUUGUGUUUUCCCUGAGUUGUGACAAUUUCACUGUUAGCACAUACAGAUCUACCUCACCUGCUCUCGUGGCUGGGUGGUGUCCCUGUGUGUGACAAACCACAGGCAAAGCAAUCUCUGACUGAUGAUAGACUCUCAGCAGAGCUAUUACCAGUACUGCUGCAGUGAACACAUUUGCACAUACAUUUUUACACAGUACAUCGUGUUUGUGAGAUAAAAUCCUAAAAAGGAAUUACUGUGCCAUAUGUUUUGCUUUGUCUUAGGGCAUUGCCAUGAUUCAGAGAAAGCAGCCUUCUCUUUCCUUCCCUCACUGGUGUAGGUUGGAACCAUGAUGCCUUUAGCCAUGGAAUUCUUGUAGGACUCUGUUAGGCACUUGGGACACGGUGCCCAGUCUUUGAGCUUUCCAGGGAAGCAGGAAUGUUUGAGACCUGUAAAAAGAAAAAGGUGUUGGGGCUCCCAUAAGAAAGUUACAAAAUAAAAAUUAAUAAAUGUAAUUACAUGUCUUUCCAAUCCUAUGAGCUUCAUUGUUAUCUGCUUAAAAAAAAUAUUUUUUCAUAAUAGUGAAGUGUCGCAAUCACCAAAUCAAGUAAUUUCAAAAGCAAUUUUUAAAGAUCUUUUCAAGAAAACACAGGGGAAAAGUAACCUUAAAUAUGAAAAAUGGCUACCUUUUAAUAUAUUUGAAAUGCUGUUGGGAAGCCUUCAAAAGUAAGCAUGCAGGGGGCUGGCAAGUGUUAUAAAAUAUCCCUGGGCAGAGGGGUGGGUGUAGAAUGGUGGAGCAACACUUUGAGGAAUAUGCAGCAAGCUUUUAAAAUGUGCAUUUCAGACGCAUGGUACUAAGUGAAGAAGUCAGACUCAAAAGGCUACUUACUAAUUCCAUUUAUGUGACGUUCUGGGAAAGGCAAAAUGUAGGAAAUGGAGAACAGAACUGUGGUUGCCAGGGAUUCAUCAUGGCGGUUGGGAGGUGAUAACAGGAGGAAAUUUGGGGGUUGAUGGAACUGUCUGUAUCCUAAAUAUGGCGAUGGUUGUAUGACUCGGUGCCUUUGUCAAAACUGUACACCCCCCCAAAAAAGUACAUUU
Molecule: RNA transcript, 3602 nt
Organism: Zalophus californianus (California sea lion)
Lineage: Eukaryota; Metazoa; Chordata; Mammalia; Carnivora; Otariidae
Gene: CSNK2A2
Gene name: casein kinase 2 alpha 2
Exons: 13
Source: RefSeq, a predicted model, not a curated record